RNAcentral lists this ribosomal RNA (494 nucleotides) under uncultured bacterium. Its description in RNAcentral is "partial 16S ribosomal RNA". It matches the Rfam family "Bacterial small subunit ribosomal RNA", at positions 28 to 507 of the family's 1533-position model. The record is from RNAcentral.
GACGAACGCUGGCGGCGUGCUUAACACAUGCAAGUCGAACGGUGAAGCGCCUUCCUUUUUGGUGGGUGUGGAUGAGUGGCGAACGGGUGAGUAACACGUGAGUAACCUGCCCCCUUCUUCUGGAUAACCGCAUGAAAGUGUGGCUAAUACGGGAUAUUCUGGGUCUGUCGCAUGAUGGGUCUGGGAAAGAUAUUGUUUCGGUGGGGGAUGGGCUCGCGGCCCAUCAGCUUGUUGGUGGGGUGAUGGCCUACCAAGGCGGUGACGGGUAGCCGGCCUGAGAGGGUGGACGGUCACACUGGGACUGAGACACGGCCCAGACUCCGACGGGAGGCAGCAGUGGGGAAUAUUGCACAAUGGGCGCAAGCCUGAUGCAGCGACGCCGCGUGAGGGAUGGAGGCCUUCGGGUUGUGAACCUCUUUCGCCAGUGAAGCAGGCCUGCCUCGUUUGUGGGUGGGUUGACGGUAGCUGGAGAAGAAGCGCCGGCUAACUACGUG